Molecule: long non-coding RNA, 1383 nt
Filed under: Mizuhopecten yessoensis (Yesso scallop)
Lineage: Eukaryota; Metazoa; Mollusca; Bivalvia; Pectinida; Pectinidae
Description: uncharacterized LOC110444981, transcript variant X2
Source: RNAcentral
ACUUGAACAUUCCCUAUCCUGCAAUCAGUUUCAUGGUAUUUUUCAGCAGUGAAGAUUGCUUUACUUACGUCAUAAAACACAUACAUAUACAAGAAAAUGGAGUCCUCAGCAGCUAGACGAUUUGAGAAGGUUGAGCCCAAGGUGGGUUUCGAACUGAAGACCAUUGUUCUGACGUCAGCGUGCUUCAUCUAUGCCAUUGUCAUAUUCUUGACAGCGGCAUGUAUAAGCAAGGCAGUAGCAUCGACCAUGUCAUCAGCUUCCUUGACAUUGAAGCGCUAUCAGUUCUGGAGUAUUGACCACCAGACCACACUGGACAUGAAGCCGACAAGAGCACGCUCGACAAAGCACAUUUACCAGGGCUGAUACAUCACUGACCCAAACAACAAGGGAAUCUCAAAACUACUUACAUCGUCAAACAGUUGACCUAAUUAUUUGGAUGAUUUGGGCGAUGAUGAUGCAAUAUGCCAUUCUAAAAUGAUGUGCAUAAUGAAUUGACCGAUUUUCCUAUUGCAAUCCGCGCCGUAGCGAUUGCGCUGCCUCAAUAACUUGCAACGUGGCCCAGAUACUGCGGAACUGUAUACGGACUAUCAAUAGAAAAAAGGUAAUGGAUUGUAAUCGGACGACAACGGGGAUGUAACUUUUCGUUUUCAAUGUCAUGUCACAAACAAAGACUUUCCGAAAGAAUUUGGACCAUGCACGGCCAUGCACGUGCGAAAGUCUACUACGAAAUACGUUCGACCCCGAACAGCAGUGCGGAAGAACAAAUUAAUGACAGCCAUUGGAUGUGUGAUGUUCUGUUUUAGUCAAAUGCCAAUUAAACUAAGAAUGAAUUGUGGAUGUGAUGAGUGUCAGGUGUACGCCAUUGAAUAUAAGUGAUCAUGAAUGUUAGUUGGGAAAUUUAUAUUGAUAUGAGAUACUUAACAUUUUAAAGAACAACUUGAGAGAGUGUAUAUGUUUUGAUCUCUCUUGAUGAACAAACAAAAUUUGUUAUAUUAAAAUGUUAGUUUUUUGUCGUGAAUUUGAAAGUGUGUACAGACUAUAACAAUAGAAAAAUGUUGUUUUUUUCAAAAUCGUUUCGGUUCAACAAGACGUCAUUGUCUACUUUUCUGGCGUUUUCAUAUAGAGAGAUAUUCAGAGAGAUUUAGUUUGAAACGUUCAUUGUCUUUCAUUAAUACAUGCAUGUAUAUAUGUAGAUAAUCAAAAAUCGCAUAACAAUAUCAUAAAUGUUGAUUGAAGAAUGAAAAGAAAUCACAAGUGUAUCAACUAGAGUUAAUUUGUGUUUGGGUGUGCAGAAUGAGUGUGACGAAUGUUUAUUUUUUUGUAUUAUUGUUAUAAUCUGUUGCUUUUCACAGAGAAAUGUUGUUAAUAAAUUACAAAACACUA